UGUAAUCUUCGAUCAACAAUAGUAACUAGAUUUCGGGUCGGUGCAUAAAAUCCGUCUCGUCAAAUAACAGCGCACUUGAAAUGUGAGCUCUUAUUUUGUUUAGUUCACUUCAAACACAGCCAAUGUCAACCCGUCUCACAAUACCGCAGUGUGUAUUCAAAAGUUGCAAAAAUAAGGCCCGAAAAAGCAAUUUAACGGCCGGAGUAUCUUACUUUCGCUUUCCUAGCAAUCACGUGUGCAGAAUGGAUCUCGAUUGUCGCCAGAGAAACAAGAGAUGACUUUUAUAAGCCAGCUAAGAACUCCGCUUAUUGACACUGGACAUCUUUGCCUUCCGUGCUCACGGCUACUGAAAUGUGGCCGAAACAUUGUAAUAAAAAUACCACGCUUGAAACCGUUUAAA
Bombyx mori (domestic silkworm) is the source of this 400-nucleotide long non-coding RNA. RefSeq lists it as uncharacterized. The transcript has 2 exons. The record is from RefSeq and is a predicted model, not a curated record. Lineage: Eukaryota; Metazoa; Arthropoda; Insecta; Lepidoptera; Bombycidae.